RNAcentral lists this ribosomal RNA (253 nucleotides) under uncultured bacterium. Its description in RNAcentral is "partial 16S ribosomal RNA". It matches the Rfam family "Bacterial small subunit ribosomal RNA", at positions 524 to 776 of the family's 1533-position model. The record is from RNAcentral.
GACAGAGGGGGCAAGCGUUGCUCGGAAUUACUGGGCGUAAAGGGCGCGUAGGCGGGAUGGCAAGUCGGUCGUGAAAUCCUUCGGCUCAACCGAAGAACGUCGAUCGAUACUGCUGUUCUUGAGGGUUGCAGAGGAGACUGGAAUUCCCGGUGUAGCGGCGAAAUGUGUAGAGAUCGGGAGGAACACCGGUGGCGAAGGCGGGUCUCUGGGCAAUUCCUGACGCUGAGGCGCGAAAGCGUGGGGAGCAAACGGG